RNAcentral lists this ribosomal RNA (1288 nucleotides) under uncultured bacterium. Its description in RNAcentral is "bacterial SSU rRNA". It matches the Rfam family "Bacterial small subunit ribosomal RNA", at positions 88 to 1399 of the family's 1533-position model. The record is from RNAcentral.
UAACUUAGUGGCGAACGGGUGAGUAACGCGUGAGUAACCUGCCCUGGAGUGGGGGACAACAGUUGGAAACGACUGCUAAUACCGCAUAAGCCCACGGCCCGGCAUCGGGCUGCGGGAAAAGGAUUUAUUCGCUUCAGGAUGGACUCGCGUCCAAUUAGCUAGUUGGUGAGGUAACGGCCCACCAAGGCGACGAUUGGUAGCCGGACUGAGAGGUUGAACGGCCACAUUGGGACUGAGACACGGCCCAGACUCCUACGGGAGGCAGCAGUGGGGGAUAUUGCACAAUGGGGGAAACCCUGAUGCAGCGACGCCGCGUGGAGGAAGAAGGUUUUCGGAUUGUAAACUCCUGUCGUUAGGGACGAUAAUGACGGUACCUAACAAGAAAGCACCGGCUAACUACGUGCCAGCAGCCGCGGUAAAACGUAGGGUGCAAGCGUUGUCCGGAAUUACUGGGUGUAAAGGGAGCGCAGGCGGACCGGCAAGUUGGAAGUGAAAACUAUGGGCUCAACCCAUAAAUUGCUUUCAAAACUGCUGGCCUUGAGUAGUGCAGAGGUAGGUGGAAUUCCCGGUGUAGCGGUGGAAUGCGUAGAUAUCGGGAGGAACACCAGUGGCGAAGGCGACCUACUGGGCACCAACUGACGCUGAGGCUCGAAAGCAUGGGUAGCAAACAGGAUUAGAUACCCUGGUAGUCCAUGCCGUAAACGAUGAUUACUAGGUGUUGGAGGAUUGACCCCUUCAGUGCCGCAGUUAACACAAUAAGUAAUCCACCUGGGGAGUACGACCGCAAGGUUGAAACUCAAAGGAAUUGACGGGGGCCCGCACAAGCAGUGGAGUAUGUGGUUUAAUUCGAAGCAACGCGAAGAACCUUACCAGGUCUUGACAUCCGAUGCAUAGUGCAGAGAUGCAUGAAGUCCUUCGGGACAUCGAGACAGGUGGUGCAUGGUUGUCGUCAGCUCGUGUCGUGAGAUGUUGGGUUAAGUCCCGCAACGAGCGCAACCCUUAUUGCCAGUUACUACGCAAGAGGACUCUGGCGAGACUGCCGUUGACAAAACGGAGGAAGGUGGGGAUGACGUCAAAUCAUCAUGCCCUUUAUGACCUGGGCUACACACGUACUACAAUGGCGUUUAACAAAGAGAAGCAAGACCGCGAGGUGGAGCAAAACUCAAAAACAACGUCUCAGUUCAGAUUGCAGGCUGCAACUCGCCUGCAUGAAGUCGGAAUUGCUAGUAAUCGCGGAUCAGCAUGCCGCGGUGAAUACGUUCCCGGGCCUUGCACUCACCGCCCGUCA